CCUACGGGUGACAGCAGUGGGGAAUAUUGCACAAUGGGGGAAACCCUGAUGCAGCGACGCCGCGUGAGUGAAGAAGUCUUUCGGGAUGUAAAGCUCUAUCCGCAAGGAAGAUAAUGACGGUACCUGAGGAAGAAGCCCCGGCUAACUACGUGCCAGCAGCCGCGGUAAUACGUAGGGGGCUAGCGUUAUCCGGAUUUACUGGGGGUAAAGGGGGCGUAGGCGGAUUCUUAAGUCAGAGGUGAAAGGCUAGGGCUUAACCGGAGUAAGCCUUUGAAACUGGGGAACUUGAGUGCAGGAGAGGAGAGUGGAAUUCCUAGUGUAGCGGUGAAAUGCGUAGAUAUUAGGAGGAACACCAGUUGCGAAGGCGGCUCUCUGGACUGUAACUGACGCUGAGGCACGAAAGCGUGGGGAGCAAACAGGAUUAGAUACCCCAGUAGUC
This 439-nucleotide ribosomal RNA is filed under the name uncultured bacterium. Its description in RNAcentral is "partial 16S ribosomal RNA". It matches the Rfam family "Bacterial small subunit ribosomal RNA", at positions 338 to 795 of the family's 1533-position model. The record is from RNAcentral.